GCACUGCUGAGGAGUCCCACAAUAAGACGAAACCGCCUUCCGGUGC
Molecule: non-coding RNA, 46 nt
Organism: Schistosoma mattheei
Lineage: Eukaryota; Metazoa; Platyhelminthes; Trematoda; Strigeidida; Schistosomatidae
Source: Rfam